AUCGCUUCUCGGCCUUUUGGCUAAGAUCAAGUGUAGUAUCUGUUCUUAUCAGAAAAUCAGGGAUAUUGGGGGAAGGAAACCAAAAAUCUAAAAUAUGGAGACAUAUUUUUGAAAAAAUAAAUAAUUAAAACCAAUAGCCUAAGUCAUCCAUU
Small nuclear RNA from Oryctolagus cuniculus (rabbit), 152 nucleotides. Its record names the gene U2. It matches the Rfam family "U2 spliceosomal RNA". From Rfam's summary of the family: U2 is a small nuclear RNA (snRNA) component of the spliceosome (involved in pre-mRNA splicing). The record is from Ensembl. NCBI's taxonomy places the organism in Eukaryota, Metazoa, Chordata, Mammalia, Lagomorpha, Leporidae.